CAUGACCUGAGCUGAGGUCCAAUGCUUAACCCAGCGAGCCACCAAGGCAGGGGCCCUGUGUGAUACUUAUAAGAGAAUAUCUCUCCCACCACCCUCGUUCUCCCUGCUUUAGAGAUCAUAUUGUGGGGACAGGAGACCUGGAGCUGAAGCACGUAUUUUGUGACCACUAGGCAAGAAGCCUGAAGGAAAAUUCCAGAAUAAUAGGAGGAAUCGGAAAGAGAAAACCACCAUUUGGGUCAUUGAGAUCAUACUUGGGCUGGCAAUCAAGCCUUAUUUUUAUUGGUAAUGAAUAUUCUCUGGCUUAAUGCAUGGUUACUGUGGUUUUCUAGUUCCUAGAACAGUGUCUGGCACAUGGAAGGAAAUCCAAAGUGUUUGUUGAUUCAAUAGCUUAAAUUUUGGUCAUUUUCAUGUUCCAAACAUCCAAUACGGUUCUUCAUAUGCAUUAGCUGAUGGAGAAGCUGAAACCUACAGGCUGUACAGAGGUAUCUCAGAUCAUACCUUUGGUUCAAAUAAAACCCAGAACAGAAGAACUGGAAAGACUGCAGGUGCAGUGACCGGAAGUUCUCUACAGUUGCUAAGAAGACUCUAAGGAUAUUGAAAGUUAAGUAGGGCCACACCUCAGGAGCCACAUGAAAGAUUGGCUGAACUCCAAAAUGAAGAAGAAAAAUACAUAACGAAUCAUUUUCAGUCUCUACUGGCACCUUCACCACAAAUCUAGUAGACUAAUUAAACACUGUAUGGAUUACAUUCUAUUAAAAACAUAUUGUAUAUAGAGAGAUUAUCUCAUAUAUGGCUUAUUUACCUAACCAUAGCCUAUUUGAAGACAACUUAUUUGACUUGAAGAUAAAGGUUGAGAACUGAAACUACCUACCCUUACCCACAGUUUGGACACUAAGGAAUUAAAUUGCCUGUUUUGCCCUCACUACCCACAGAUAACCUAACCCCCUACUUUACAUGACUUUACUAUUCCAUUGUCUUCACAGGUGUGACUUUCAAAAGACCCAUCAAUUCUUCAAUGGAAAACAUCAACACACAGUCUGCAUCCUAAGAUUCUUGGAAUGUCUUGCCUGAAAAAUCCUUGCCUGCUGUUUUUGACAACCCUGGACUAUUGUCUCUUAAUCUUUACCCAGUUCUCAUCAAGCUCCCCAGCGAACUAAAUCUCUGAUUCUCAAUUAGUGCUGAAUUCGUUCCCCCACAGAGACAUUACCAAAGCUUUGCAGAGGUUGUGUUCUUCGUUAAUAUAUGUUAACAUCAUCCAUAUAUCUGAUUCAGAUUUUUGAAAAUGUACAGAUGAGCUGUUGCUAUAGGAGAAAAGGCCACAUCUUGACUGAAUUUCAUAGAUUCCAGGAAGGAUUGUAUUAAUCAUCCUUGUUUAUGUGCACCUAAGACUCUGACUUCUAUUUGGGAUAUCAUGUGGUUUUAGGAGGAUGUAACUCCAGCCAUCAGCUUAAAGAAUACAGCAUCUGACCUGGACCAAGCCAGUUGGAACAAUAAACUCCUCUAACCACCAUGACUGGUUUAAGAGUUGGCCUAAUCAGAGAGAGGGAAUUUUGAGAAAGCCAAGACCUUCUUUUGCUUCAGAUAGGAUGACCCACAGAGUGAAGUCUAGAACUCUUGAAGCCAUUGUGUUUUAUUCACAGAACCUACUUAGGGAUAAGAAGGGCACACAAAGAAAGAAAGGGGUGAAAAAUUGAAAGCAAGACCAAGACACAGACCGGUUACAUUGUAACCAAACCGUGCCUAAAGCCUGCCCUAUGUCUUGG
Long non-coding RNA from Acinonyx jubatus (cheetah), 1763 nucleotides. RefSeq lists it as uncharacterized. The transcript is spliced from 5 exons. The record is from RefSeq and is a predicted model, not a curated record. NCBI's taxonomy places the organism in Eukaryota, Metazoa, Chordata, Mammalia, Carnivora, Felidae.